AGUGAACGCUGGCGGUAGGCCUAACACAUGCAAGUCGAACGGCAGCACAGGAGAGCUUGCUCUCUAGGUGGCGAGUGGCGGACGGGUGAGGAAUACAUCGGAAUCUGCCCAGUCGUGGGGGAUAACGUAGGGAAACUUACGCUAAUACCGCAUACGACCUUCGGGUGAAAGAGGGGGAUCGCAAGACCUCUCGCGAUUGGAUGAGCCGAUGUCGGAUUAGCUAGUUGGCGGGGUAAUGGCCCACCAAGGCGACGAUCCGUAGCUGGUCUGAGAGGAUGAUCAGCCACACUGGAACUGAGACACGGUCCAGACUCCUACGGGAGGCAGCAGUGGGGAAUAUUGGACAAUGGGCGCAAGCCUGAUCCAGCCAUACCGCGUGGGUGAAGAAGGCCUUCGGGUUGUAAAGCCCUUUUGUUGGGAAAGAAAUCUUUCAGGCUAAUACCCUGGGAGGAUGACGGCACCCAAAGAAUAAGCACCGGCUAACUUCGUG
RNAcentral lists this ribosomal RNA (490 nucleotides) under uncultured bacterium. RNAcentral's name for it is "partial 16S ribosomal RNA". It matches the Rfam family "Bacterial small subunit ribosomal RNA", at positions 29 to 507 of the family's 1533-position model. The record is from RNAcentral.